Long non-coding RNA from Solanum pennellii, 1504 nucleotides. RefSeq lists it as uncharacterized. The record is from RefSeq and is a predicted model, not a curated record. The transcript is spliced from 2 exons. Lineage: Eukaryota; Viridiplantae; Streptophyta; Magnoliopsida; Solanales; Solanaceae.
UAUUUUGGUCCUAACAAUCGUGACACAAGUCAUUAACUCAAAAAAGUACUUAGAAUACAGUCCUUCAGUGCAAGAAUCCCAAAGGCAAAGAACCCAAGGGACAAUUAUUCCUGUGACUAUCAGUUUCACUUUGACAACUUUCUCAUCUCCUUUUAUAUCCACCUCUCAAUUCUCAAGAAGCAAGACCCGGAAUACCACAACCGUCCUAAACUCUUGCACAACCAUGGGCUAAUAUAGAUUUAACACCCACAACUGUAAUAGUGUACUUCUUCCUUGGAAAAAGGGACCCUUGUCUUGGACACCUUUCCCAACUUGAUUUCUCUUCCCUAGCUUUGCAAAAUUCGAACAAGUCACAUUCGGUAUUUUCUAGCAAAGUGAUUGGGUUAGUCCUUUGCUCAUCUAUUUAAUAGGUCUAGUUUCUCAUAAUUAGAUCAAGCAUUUACAUUGACGAAAAAAAUCCUGAAUUUUUACACCACUGAGAUAAAGUUGGGAUCAAGAGCGCUCCUUUGUUACAAAAAACAAAAAAUCUUGUCUGGUUUUGAAGCAUCUUUUCACAAAGUCAAGAUACUUAACUUGUGUGUAAUGAGGAUGAAGGAGAAAUGUCGAGAAAUUAAGAAGUUGGGACCAACGAUAGCAAAUCAAAGAUAAAGAAGGAAGUUAAGAAUGAGGAACCCGUGAGCAACAUUCAAGCUCAUUGGGAGAGUAGAAAUGGUUAUUCCGGCGGUUAGUGAGGAUUCAUUGCUAAAGAAAGUUGGUGUGCGAAAGAGUUAGAACUCCAAUCAGUUCAGCAGCUCAAGGUUGCAACAACCUGGAAAGAUCACUAAGACAAUUGCCUGUUACAAUAUGUGUAAAUUGCAAAUCAACAUACUUGAAGAAUAAGCUGAUAAAUUUCGUCAUGGAAAAUAAAUAUAACGGGAAGCAACUACGCUAACCUAUGAACAAAUAUUUCUAUGUGAUCUUAUAGGGUUCUAUUAUCAGAAAGUGGAAGGGGAACUUUACACUUCACAUACUUCAGUUGCAGGUAAAAGGAGUGAAGUUAUCUUAGACAAUUGCUUUGUUCAGUGUUCUUCUAUGUCUGCUUUCCUAUUGAAAUUCAUAUUUUUUGUUUAUGAGUAUUGUUAUUGUUGUAGUGAGCAGAUUUUGUUCAAUUUACUUGUGAGGGUAAUUCAUUUUUGAAGAGUCAAUACACAUGGAAGGCAUGGACCUUGUUCCUUAAUGUGUUAUUGAUGCAAUGGGUGCAUAUAAAAAUACUGAAAAAAGUUGUAUAUUGCUGGAACGGGUCGAGAAUGAAGAAACAUCUCAAAAACUUUUGGAACACUAUCCCUCUUUGCAUUUUUUUGUCAUUACAGAAAGAAAGAAAGAAACAAUAUGUAUUUUGGAACAAAUACUCACCAAUACACUCGAUCAUAUUUGGAGCAGUACAUAUAAUUCUUGGUGAAACCUCAAGAUUGUGUGAUGUAAAUAUUUUUAACGACUUUAUGGAAUCCCUUUUAUAAUCACCAAA